UAAUAUUGUAAUAUUUCUUGAAUAAUUCAUGUUUUUAAACAAGAAAGGCUGGCAUAAAUUUAUGUCAAUCUGUUUGUGUAUUGCAGCGCUGUGCCUAACAAACAAACACAGUCUGCUUCCCUCGGAGACUCGCGGGGAGAGGCAACGGAAAAGCAGCAUCUGAAUAGGGGGCUGGAAUUCAAGUUCAUCCCCAGAAGGGAGAGGUGCCCCCAGGUGCCUUCUGAGGUUCCCAGACACCGUGGUCUUUGCUGUCACCCCCUUAUCAGAUGGUUCCCAAUAUAUGAAGCCCUCAGGGAAGUGGGACAGGGCCAAGGAGUGAGGUGCAGCAGCAAGAGAAAGUCAUCAGGAACAGGAGGUGUGAAGAAUGGGAUGUGA
RNAcentral lists this long non-coding RNA (375 nucleotides) under Capra hircus (goat). Its description in RNAcentral is "lncRNA (ENSCHIG00000005440.1)". Lineage: Eukaryota; Metazoa; Chordata; Mammalia; Artiodactyla; Bovidae. The record is from RNAcentral.